UACGUAGGGGGCAAGCGUUGUCCGGAAUCAUUGGGCGUAAAGCGCGUGUAGGCGGCUCGAUAAGUCUGCUGUGAAAGUCCAGGGCUCAACCCUGGGAUGCCGGUGGAUACUGUCGAGCUCGAGUCCGGAAGAGGCGAGUGGAAUUCCUGGUGUAGCGGUGAAAUGCGUAGAUAUCUGGAGGAACACCGGUGGCGAAGGCGGCAUCCUGGACCGGUAUUGACACUGAGGCGCGAAAGCCAGGGGAGCAAACGGG
This 253-nucleotide ribosomal RNA is filed under the name uncultured bacterium. RNAcentral's name for it is "partial 16S ribosomal RNA". It matches the Rfam family "Bacterial small subunit ribosomal RNA", at positions 524 to 776 of the family's 1533-position model. The record is from RNAcentral.